This is a long non-coding RNA of Lytechinus pictus (painted urchin), 417 nucleotides long. RefSeq lists it as uncharacterized. The record is from RefSeq and is a predicted model, not a curated record. The transcript has 3 exons. Lineage: Eukaryota; Metazoa; Echinodermata; Echinoidea; Temnopleuroida; Toxopneustidae.
AAAUGAUGAUGACAGGAGAAACGAGCACAGCAGACCUGGUGACCAGUGAUACGCCCUCAAGGACAACACAUCUAGCGGAAUCCCUUGAAAGUCCAUCCGGUUGUAUAGAAUAUUUAUGUGAGAACGGCUGGUGUUUGGAGACUAUGGAGAGCUACAAAUGUUACUGUUUUGCUGGAUUCCACGGGACCCAUUGCAAUGAACGUACAGCAGAUAAUUCGAGCUGUCAAGAUAUUUUCGGAUGGUAUGAAGGCAAUCUUUAUUGUUACUUUGAUGAGAGAGUCAACUUUUCUCGAGCACUGACGAACUGUCGGAACAUCAACUGGAAAGAUCAGGAAGACGAUCAUUCUCCUGGUUUUUCCGAUCUAGUGUCCAUUCACAGUGAUGGGGAGACGAACAUUAUUUUGGACUUGUGCAAAG